Monodelphis domestica (gray short-tailed opossum) is the source of this 3947-nucleotide non-coding RNA. The record is from RefSeq and is a predicted model, not a curated record. NCBI's taxonomy places the organism in Eukaryota, Metazoa, Chordata, Mammalia, Didelphimorphia, Didelphidae.
UCCAGUUCCCAAGACAUUGCUCAUAUCUGAAAGGGCACUUGGCUGGCUGGCAGGAACAAGAGGAGAGGCACCAAAUGGGGUCACCUGGCUGCUGCCUGUGAAAAGAAAUGAGACAGCCACAUUUUUCUGAUUUCUGACUUCAAAAGAUGAGAAAGGCUGUCCUUGCCCAACAUCCUAAUAGUGUCCUAUCUUGCCAAAAUCAGAUCAUUUAAAGGGGCAGAAAUAAAGGAGGUGAGUAGGAGUGAGUCAAUAAUUUUUUUUUUGCUUGUUCUCCUUUACCACCUGCUAUGGAAUCAGUUCCACCUAAGAAGUCAAUCAGCUACAAUCUGACCAGUUUGAUUGUUCCUCAUUAAUAACAACAACUAUCAUUUAUAUAUCACUUUAAAGUCUGCAAAACCCUGUAUUUCAUUUGGGUCUCCCAAUCACCCGGUUAGACAGAAACUACAGUUAUUUUCUAAUAAAAAUCUAUGAACAGGGCUCAAUGGAUGGAGAGUCAGAAAGGAGGUACUGUGUUCAAAACUGCCCAAGACAAAACUUCCUAGCUAUGUGACCCCAAGGAGAUCAUUAAACCUUCAAAGCCUAGUCUUUAUUAUUCUCUUUUGUCUUGGAGCCAAUACACUGUAUUGAUUCUAAGACCACAGAUAAGGGUUUAAAAAAAAAUCUGAUCAGAUUAAAGUAAACCAAAUAUUAUCUGGGUUUUUCAUCAUCUAAAGCAGAGGUUCUUAACCUUUUGUGUCACAGGAGACAGAUGACGUCUAUAGGCACUUUCUCAGAAUAACAUUUUUAAAAGAAUAUAUCAAAAACAUAGGAUUAUAAAGGAAGCCAAUUAUAUCAUCAUAGUUAUCAAAAUAUUAAAAACAAAGUUCAUGUUUCCCAGGAUGAAAAAACCCAGAUAAAACGUGUCACAUUGAAUGGGGACUGGUUUUGGGGACAGGAAGGAGACAUAAGAGGGCUCUGAGGUAUCUGAAAAUCAUAUGCCCACUAAAUAGUAAUCCUUAGAAUCCAAGAGCUCUGGUCUUGCACAGGGAAGAAGCUGUCUCCUAUGGGACAAAAUGGGACAAAUCAUCAGACAUGUAUGCUUUUUUCCAUUCUCUACAGAGGAAACCCCUUCUAUCCACAUGUGUUCUAACCAUUCCUCUUGGGUAAAGAAAGCACACUCCAUCCUUCUCUUUACGCUACCAGGACGAAAACCCAGAGAAUGAGUCAUGUCAAAGGGGUCCCAUCUUUAUCCUUGAGAUCCAAUGCUUCUUUGAAUUCUAAACACUGUAGCCUUGUGAAAAGUUUUAGGUGCUUGCAUUUGCCUAUGGCAAAUCACCUAAUCUCUGGGCUAAAAUCAUUUAUCUUAUACAAAUAUCAAGACAGUCCACAGACAAUACUCUGAUCAAUUAAAAGCAUCAUAAAAGUUGGAUUGAAUACUGUGCUAAUUAUUGAUACAAAGUAGUUAACAGCAAUCCUUUCAACUUCACAAAACCAAUUGCCUUAUCUAUAAGCUGAAAGUGUUGGACUAGAUUACAGAUUUAGGGCCAGAAGGGAUUUAAAGAGAGUCUCAUUUUAUGAAUGAAUUGAGGUCUCAAGGUAGGUGAACUGACUUGAUCAGAUCAAUCAAAUAAAAUGCAGGUCCUCUGACUCAAUUCUCCUAAUGUGUCAUGCUGCAUUUUUGGUAACCCUUUUCUUCCCUUUUAGAAUCAAUACUGGGUAAGGAUUCCAGGGCAGAAGAGUGGUAAGGCCUAGGCAAUGAGGUCAUACAGCCCAGGGACACACAACCAGAAAGUAUCUGAAGCCAUAUUUGAACAUAGGACCUCCUCUCAAUCCACUGAGCCACCUAGUUGCCUCCAAUCCUGCAUGUUAAGGUCAAUUCCAGUUCUAAAUUUAUGAAAAGGAUCACAAAGCAAGAUUCAAACCCUGACCUUUUGACAUGAUCAUGCCAGGAUGCCUUUCUCAUUUCCCUUACUAAAGCAAUAAGCUUCUUAAGGGCAAAAAAAUUUGCUGUUCCAGUUAGCACCCCUCUUCAAUAAAUCCUUAAUAACAUACAUGAGGCAUCAAUGGGGCAUGGAACCAAGAACCAGGAAAAUGUCUCUCUGACGUCAUUCUGGCUGUGGAGCACUGGUCAAGUUAUUUAACCUCUCAGUGAUUUAGGCAAUUCUCUAAGAUUAUAAAUUGAAGAAAAAGUACUGACCAGUAAGAGCAAUGAAUUUCCUUACCCUAUUGCAGUGAAAUUAGAGAAGAAAGAAAUAAGUAUUUAUUAAGUGCCUACAUUUGAAGUAUCAUCCACAUUUUAUAGCUGGUGAAACUGAGGCAAAUACAAGAUAAGUGAUAUAGCUAUUAAAGUAAUUCAUAUAGCUAUUAAGUGUCUUGGGUCUUUCUGGCUUCAAGCUAUAGCUUUAUUCACUGGACCAUCUUGCUGUCUCAAGCUGACCCAGACUAUGAUCUUAUAAUUUCAACCUUGAUGAUUCAUGCUGCAGGUAAAGUUUGAAUUAGGAAUUUGGGUUGGCAAACUUUUGUUGUAAAAAAGAGCCUGUCAUUUUAAGCUUUGCAGAUCAUGGGGCAAAAAUUGAGGAUAUUCACGGGGGGUGGGAGGGAGGAAAAGAAAAUGAUCUUUGUCUUUAAUGAAAAAUGCAUGGAAAUGAUCAAAUAAAAUACUAUAAAAUUAAAAAAAAAAAGACCAAGCAUGAGCUAGAAAAAAAUAAAAAAAUGUAAAAUCAAUAAUUUUGAUUACAUCAAAUUAAAAAGUUUUUGUACAAACAAAACUAAUGCAUCCAAAAUGAGAAGGGAAGCAACAAAUUGGGAAACAAUCUUCAUAACAAAAACCUCGGACAAAGGUCUAAUUACUCAAAUUUAUAAAAAACUAAACUAAUUGUACAAAAAAAAAAUCAAGCCAUUCUCCAAUUGAUAAAUGGUCAGGGGACAUGAAUAGGCAAUUUUCAGUUAAAGAAAUCAAAACUAUUAAUAAGCACACAAAAAAGUGUUCUAAAUCUCUUAUAAUCAGAGAAAUGCAAAACAAAACAACUCUGAGGUAUCGCCCCACACCUAGCACCUUGGCUAACAUGACAGCAAAGGGAAGUAAUGAAUGCUGGAGGGGAUGUGGCAAAGUUGGGACAUUAAUGCAUUGCUGGUGGAGUUGUGAAUUGAUUCAACCAUUUUAGAGGGCAAUUUGGAACUAUGCCCAAAGGGCAAUAAAAGACUUUGAUCCAGUCAUAGCACUGCUGGGUUUGAACCCCAAAGAGAUAAUAAGGAAAAAGACAUGUACAAAAAUAUUCAUAGCUGCACUCUUUGUGGUGGCCAAAAACUGGAAAAUGAAGGGAUGCCCUUUAUUUGGGGAAUGGCUGAACAAAUUGUGGUAUAUGUUGGUGAUGGAAUACUAUUGUGCUCAAAGGAAUAAUAAAGUGGAGGAAUUCCAUGGGAACUGGAAUGACCUCCAGGAAUUGAUGCAGAGUGAGAGGAGCAGAACCAGGAGAACAUUGUACACAGAUACUGAUACUCCGUAGUACAAUCAAAUGUAAUGGACUUUUCCAUUAGUGGCAAUGCAAUGAUCCUGAACAACUUGGAGGAAUUUACAAGAAAAACCACUAUCCACAUUCAGAGGAAAAAUUGGGAGUAGAAACACAGAAGAAAAACAACUGCUUGAAUACAUGGGUCAAGGGGAUAUGGCUUGGGAAGUAGACUCUAAACGAACAUCCUAAUGCAAACACCAACAACAUGGAAAUAGGUUUGGAUCAAGGACACAUGUAAUACCCAAUGAAAUUGCGCGUUGACUGCGGGAAGGGUGGGUUGAGAGGAAGGAGGGAAAUAAUGUGAUUAUUGUAACCAAGGAAUAAUGUUCUAAAUUGACUAAAUAAAUUAAUUCAAAAAAUAAAAAAAAAUUGAGGAUAUUAUAUACUUGUAACUACAGAAAAAAUGGAUUUCUACAAUUUUUUAGUGAAAAUAAAAAUAAAAUCAUAAUAGAAAAA